GGUUAGCGGCGGACGGGUGAGUAACGCGUGGGAAUAUGCCCUUCUCUACGGAAUAGUCUCGGGAAACUGGGGGUAAUACCGUAUACGCCCUUUGGGGGAAAGAUUUAUCGGAGAAGGAUUAGCCCGCGUUGGAUUAGGUAGUUGGUGGGGUAAUGGCCUACCAAGCCGACGAUCCAUAGCUGGUUUGAGAGGAUGAUCAGCCACACUGGGACUGAGACACGGCCCAGACUCCUACGGGAGGCAGCAGUGGGGAAUCUUAGACAAUGGGGGCAACCCUGAUCUAGCCAUGCCGCGUGAGUGAUGAAGGCCUUAGGGUUGUAAAGCUCUUUCAGCUGGGAAGAUAAUGACGGUACCAGCAGAAGAAGCCCCGGCUAACUCCGUGCCAGCAGCCGCGGUAAUACGGAGGGGGCUAGCGUUGUUCGGAAUUACUGGGCGUAAAGCGCACGUAGGCGGACCGGAAAGUCAGAGGUGAAAUCCCAGGGCUCAACCUUGGAACUGCCUUUGAAACUAUCGGUCUGGAGUUCGAGAGAGGUGAGUGGAAUUCCGAGUGUAGAGGUGAAAUUCGUAGAU
This 570-nucleotide ribosomal RNA is filed under the name bacterium RBM-B22. RNAcentral's name for it is "bacterial SSU rRNA". It matches the Rfam family "Bacterial small subunit ribosomal RNA", at positions 90 to 695 of the family's 1533-position model. The record is from RNAcentral. RNAcentral also lists the same sequence under 2 other names.